CCUACGGGUGGCUGCAGUGAGGAAUAUUGGUCAAUGGCCGGAAGGCUGAACCAGCCAUGCCGCGUGAAGGUCAGUGCCCUAUGGGCGUUAAACUUCUUUUGUGCGGGAGCAAUAAUGGUCACGUGUGGCCAGACGAGAGUACCGUACGAAUAAGCAUCGGCUAACUCCGUGCCAGCAGCCGCGGUAAUACGGGGGAUGCAAGCGUUAUCCGGAUUUAUUGGGUUUAAAGGGUGCGUAGGCUGUGAGGUAAGUCAGCGGGGAAAUGCCCCGGCUCAACGGGGUGAAGUGCCAUUGAUACUGGUUGGCUGGAAUGCGGAUGCGGUGGGAGGAAGGUGUGGUGUAGCGGUGAAAUGCAUAGAUAUCACACAGAACACCGAUUGCGAAGGCAUCUUACGAAUCCGCGAUUGACGCUGAUGCACGAAAGCGUGGGUAGCAAACAGGAUUAGAUACCCCGGUAGUC
RNAcentral lists this ribosomal RNA (460 nucleotides) under uncultured bacterium. RNAcentral describes it as "partial 16S ribosomal RNA". It matches the Rfam family "Bacterial small subunit ribosomal RNA", at positions 338 to 795 of the family's 1533-position model. The record is from RNAcentral.